AUUGAACGCUGGCGGCAGGCCUAACACAUGCAAGUCGAACGGUAACAGAAAGCAGCUUGCUGCUUUGCUGACGAGUGGCGGACGGGUGAGUAAUGUCUGGGAAACUGCCUGAUGGAGGGGGAUAACUACUGGAAACGGUAGCUAAUACCGCAUAACGUCGCAAGACCAAAGAGGGGGACCGUCGGGCCUCUUGCCAUCGGAUGUGCCCAGAUGGGAUUAGCUUGUUGGUGGGGUAACGGCUCACCAAGGCGACGAUCCCUAGCUGGUCUGAGAGGAUGACCAGCCACACUGGAACUGAGCCACGGUCCAGACUCCUACGGGAGGCAGCAGUGGGGAAUAUUGCACAAUGGGCGCAAGCCUGAUGCAGCCAUGCCGCGUGUAUGAAGAAGGCCUUCGGGUUGUAAAGUACUUUCAGCGGGGAGGAAGGGAGUAAAGUUAAUACCUUUGCUCAUUGACGUUACCCGCAGAAGAAGCACCGGCUAACUCCGUG
Molecule: ribosomal RNA, 490 nt
Filed under: uncultured bacterium
Lineage: Bacteria
Description: partial 16S ribosomal RNA
Rfam family: Bacterial small subunit ribosomal RNA
Source: RNAcentral